ACAAUCUUAGCGGUGGAUCACUCGGCUCGUGCGU
RNAcentral lists this ribosomal RNA (34 nucleotides) under Zestichthys tanakae. Its description in RNAcentral is "partial 5.8S rRNA". Lineage: Eukaryota; Metazoa; Chordata; Actinopteri; Perciformes; Zoarcidae. The record is from RNAcentral.